AGAGUUUGAUCCUGGCUCAGGAUGAACGCUGGCGGUACGCUUAACACAUGCAAGUCGAACGGAGUGCUUCGGCACUUAGUGGCGGACGGGUGAGUAACGCGUGAGAAACUGUCCUUUGGACUGGGACAACAGUUGGAAACGACUGCUAAAACCGGAUGUGCCGAGAGGUGAAAUAUUGUAUAGCCAAAGGAUGUGCUCGCGUCAGAUUAGCUAGUUGGUUAGGUAACGGCUGACCAAGGCGACGAUCGGUAGCUGUUCUGAGAGGAUGAUCAGCCACACUGGGACUGAGACACGGCCCAGACUCUUACGGGAGGCAGCAGUGGGGAAUUUUCCNCAAUGGGGGCAACCCUGANGGAGCAAUACCCGCGUGAGGGAAGAAGGCCUUUGGGUCGUAAACCUCUUUUCCCCUGGGAAGAAACCUGACGNACCAGAGGAAUAGCUCG
RNAcentral lists this ribosomal RNA (443 nucleotides) under uncultured bacterium. RNAcentral's name for it is "bacterial SSU rRNA". It matches the Rfam family "Bacterial small subunit ribosomal RNA", at positions 8 to 494 of the family's 1533-position model. The record is from RNAcentral.